Molecule: ribosomal RNA, 468 nt
Filed under: uncultured bacterium
Lineage: Bacteria
Description: partial 16S ribosomal RNA
Rfam family: Bacterial small subunit ribosomal RNA
Source: RNAcentral
GACGAACGCUGGCGGCGUGCUUAACACAUGCAAGUCGAACGGAAAGGCCCUGCUUUUGUGGUGUGCUCGAGUGGCGAACGGGUGUGUAACACGUGAGUAACCUGCCCUUGACUUUGGGAUAACUUCAGGAAACUGGGGCUAAUACCGGAUAGGAGCUCCUGCUGCAGGGGGGGGGGUGGAAAGUUUCGGCGGGUGGGGAUGGACUCGGGGGUUAUAAGCUUGUUGGGGGGGGAGGGGGUUACCAAGGGUUUCACGGGUAGCCGGCCUGAGGGGGUAACCGGCACAAUUGGGACUGGGAAAGGGCCAGAACCCCAACGGGAGGCAGCAGUGGGGAAUAUGGCACAAUGGGCGGAAGCCUAAUGCAGCAACGCCGCGUGCGGGAUGACGGCCUUCGGGUUGUAAACCGCUUUCGCCUGUGACGAAGCGUGAGUGACGGUAAUGGGUAAAGAAGCACCGGCUAACUACGUG